Molecule: ribosomal RNA, 465 nt
Filed under: Vreelandella stevensii
Lineage: Bacteria; Pseudomonadati; Pseudomonadota; Gammaproteobacteria; Oceanospirillales; Halomonadaceae
Description: partial 16S ribosomal RNA
Rfam family: Bacterial small subunit ribosomal RNA
Source: RNAcentral
CCUACGGGGGGCUGCAGUGGGGAAUAUUGGACAAUGGGGGGAACCCUGAUCCAGCCAUGCCGCGUGUGUGAAGAAGGCCCUCGGGUUGUAAAGCACUUUCAGUGAGGAAGAACGCCUGGUGGUUAAUACCCAUCAGGAAAGACAUCACUCACAGAAGAAGCACCGGCUAACUCCGUGCCAGCAGCCGCGGUAAUACGGAGGGUGCGAGCGUUAAUCGGAAUUACUGGGCGUAAAGCGCGCGUAGGUGGCUUGAUAAGCCGGUUGUGAAAGCCCCGGGCUCAACCUGGGAACGGCAUCCGGGACGGUCGGGGUAGGGGGCAGGAGAGGAAGGUAGACUCCCCGGGGCAGCGGUGAGAUGCGUAGAGAUCGGGAGGAAUACCGGUGGCGAAGGCGGGCCUAUGGACUGACACUGACACUGGGGUGCGAAGGCGUUGUUAGCAAGACGGACCCGGUACGCGAGUGGUA